This 492-nucleotide ribosomal RNA is filed under the name uncultured bacterium. RNAcentral describes it as "partial 16S ribosomal RNA". It matches the Rfam family "Bacterial small subunit ribosomal RNA", at positions 28 to 507 of the family's 1533-position model. The record is from RNAcentral.
GAUGAACGCUCGCUACAGGCUUAACACAUGCAAGUCGAGGGGAAACGGCAUCGAAAGCUUGCUUUUGAUGGGCGUCGACCGGCGCACGGGUGAGUAACGCGUAUCCAACCUGCCCAUCACUUGGGAAUAACCUUGCGAAAGUAAGACUAAUGCCCAAUGACAUCCCACGAAGGCAUCCGAAUGGGAUUAAAGAUUUAUCGGUGAUGGAUGGGGAUGCGUCUGAUUAGCUUGUUGGCGGGGUGACGGCCCACCAAGGCAACGAUCAGUAGGGGUUCUGAGAGGAAGGUCCCCCACAUUGGAACUGAGACACGGUCCAAACUCCUACGGGAGGCAGCAGUGAGGAAUAUUGGUCAAUGGGCGGGAGCCUGAACCAGCCAAGUAGCGUGCAGGAUGACGGCCCUAUGGGUGGUAAACUGCUUUUAUAAGGGAAUAAAGUGGGUCACGUGUGACUUUUUGCAUGUACCUUAUGAAUAAGGACCGGCUAAUUCCGUG